UAAUACGUAGGGGGCGAGCGUUGUCCGGAUUUAUUGGGCGUAAAGCGUCCGCAGGCGGUCAAGCAAGUUCGAGGUGACAGUGCGUGGCUUAACCGCGCAAGGUCCUUGAAAACUGCUCGACUUGAGGGCUUCAGAGGGACCCGGAAUUCCGGGUGGAGUGGUGAAAUGCGUAGAGAUCCGGAGGAACACCAAAGGCGCAGGCAGGGUCCUGGGAAGCCACUGACGCUCAGGGACGAAAGCUAGGGGAGCGAACGGGAUUAGAUACCCCGGUAGUCCUAGCCGUAAACGAUGACCACUAGAUGUGGGAGGUAUCGACCCCUUCCGUGUCGCCGCAAACGCACUAAGUGGUCCGCCUGGGGAGUACGGUCGCAAGAUUA
RNAcentral lists this ribosomal RNA (377 nucleotides) under uncultured bacterium. Its description in RNAcentral is "bacterial SSU rRNA". It matches the Rfam family "Bacterial small subunit ribosomal RNA", at positions 521 to 896 of the family's 1533-position model. The record is from RNAcentral.